This 1528-nucleotide ribosomal RNA is filed under the name uncultured Lactobacillus sp. RNAcentral's name for it is "partial 16S ribosomal RNA". It matches the Rfam family "Bacterial small subunit ribosomal RNA". The record is from RNAcentral. Lineage: Bacteria; Bacillati; Bacillota; Bacilli; Lactobacillales; Lactobacillaceae.
AGAGUUUGAUCCUGGCUCAGGACGAACGCUGGCGGCGUGCCUAAUACAUGCAAGUCGAACGAACUCUGGUAUUGAUUGGUGCUUGCAUCAUGAUUUACAUUUGAGUGAGUGGCGAACUGGUGAGUAACACGUGGGAAACCUGCCCAGAAGCGGGGGAUAACACCUGGAAACAGAUGCUAAUACCGCAUAACAACUUGGACCGCAUGGUCCGAGUUUGAAAGAUGGCUUCGGCUAUCACUUUUGGAUGGUCCCGCGGCGUAUUAGCUAGAUGGUGGGGUAACGGCUCACCAUGGCAAUGAUACGUAGCCGACCUGAGAGGGUAAUCGGCCACAUUGGGACUGAGACACGGCCCAAACUCCUACGGGAGGCAGCAGUAGGGAAUCUUCCACAAUGGACGAAAGUCUGAUGGAGCAACGCCGCGUGAGUGAAGAAGGGUUUCGGCUCGUAAAACUCUGUUGUUAAAGAAGAACAUAUCUGAGAGUAACUGUUCAGGUAUUGACGGUAUUUAACCAGAAAGCCACGGCUAACUACGUGCCAGCAGCCGCGGUAAUACGUAGGUGGCAAGCGUUGUCCGGAUUUAUUGGGCGUAAAGCGAGCGCAGGCGGUUUUUUAAGUCUGAUGUGAAAGCCUUCGGCUCAACCGAAGAAGUGCAUCGGAAACUGGGAAACUUGAGUGCAGAAGAGGACAGUGGAACUCCAUGUGUAGCGGUGAAAUGCGUAGAUAUAUGGAAGAACACCAGUGGCGAAAGCGGCUGUCUGGUCUGUAACUGACGCUGAGCUCGAAAGUAUGGGUAGCAAACAGGAUUAGAUACCCUGGUAGUCCAUACCGUAAACGAUGAAUGCUAAGUGUUGGAGGGUUUCCGCCCUUUCAGUGCUGCAGCUAACGCAUUAAGCAUUCCGCCUGGGGAGUACGGCCGCAAGGCUGAAACUCAAAGGAAUUGACGGGGGCCCGCACAAGCGGUGGAGCAUGUGGUUUAAUUCGAAGCUACGCGAAGAACCUUACCAGGUCUUGACAUACUAUGCAAAUCUAAGAGAUUAGACGUUCCCUUCGGGGACAUGGAUACAGGUGGUGCAUGGUUGUCGUCAGCUCGUGUCGUGAGAUGUUGGGUUAAGUCCCGCAACGAGCGCAACCCUUAUUAUCAGUUGCCAGCAUUAAGUUGGGCACUCUGGUGAGACUGCCGGUGACAAACCGGAGGAAGGUGGGGAUGACGUCAAAUCAUCAUGCCCCUUAUGACCUGGGCUACACACGUGCUACAAUGGAUGGUACAACGAGUUGCGAACUCGCGAGAGUAAGCUAAUCUCUUAAAGCCAUUCUCAGUUCGGAUUGUAGGCUGCAACUCGCCUACAUGAAGUCGGAAUCGCUAGUAAUCGCGGAUCAGCAUGCCGCGGUGAAUACGUUCCCGGGCCUUGUACACACCGCCCGUCACACCAUGAGAGUUUGUAACACCCAAAGUCGGUGGGGUAACCUUUUAGGAACCAGCCGCCUAAGGUGGGACAGAUGAUUAGGGUGAAGUCGUAACAAGGUAGCC